This 498-nucleotide ribosomal RNA is filed under the name uncultured bacterium. RNAcentral describes it as "partial 16S ribosomal RNA". It matches the Rfam family "Bacterial small subunit ribosomal RNA", at positions 30 to 523 of the family's 1533-position model. The record is from RNAcentral.
AUUGAACGCUGGCGGCAUGCCUUACACAUGCAAGUCGAACGGUAACAGGUCUUCGGAUGCUGACGAGUGGCGAACGGGUGAGUAAUACAUCGGAACGUGCCUAGUAGUGGGGGAUAACUACUCGAAAGAGUGGCUAAUACCGCAUGAGAUAUACGGCUGAAAGCAGGGGAGCGCAAGACCUUGCGCUACUAGAGCGGCCGAUGGCAGAUUAGGUAGUUGGUGGGAUAAAAGCUUACCAAGCCGACGAUCUGUAGCUGGUCUGAGAGGACGAUCAGCCACACUGGGACUGAGACACGGCCCAGACUCCUACGGGAGGCAGCAGUGGGGAAUUUUGGACAAUGGGCGCAAGCCUGAUCCAGCAAUGCCGCGUGCAGGAUGAAGGCCUUCGGGUUGUAAACUGCUUUUGUACGGAACGAAAAGCCCCGGGUUAAUACCCUGGGGUCAUGACGGUACCGUAAGAAUAAGCACCGGCUAACUACGUGCCAGCCGCCGCAGUAA